UACAGAGGGUGCAAGCGUUGUUCGGAAUCAUUGGGCGUAAAGCGCACGUAGGCGGCUUUGCAAGUCGGGUGUGAAAGCCUGGGGCUCAACCCCAGAAGUGCAUUCGAAACUGCAGAGCUUGAGUCUUGGAGAGGGUGGUGGAAUUCCGAGUGUAGAGGUGAAAUUCGUAGAUAUUAGGAAGAACACCAGUGGCGAAGGCGGCUCACUGGCCCGGUACUGACGCUGAGGCGCGAAAGCGUGGGGAGCAAACAGG
This 253-nucleotide ribosomal RNA is filed under the name uncultured bacterium. RNAcentral's name for it is "partial 16S ribosomal RNA". It matches the Rfam family "Bacterial small subunit ribosomal RNA", at positions 524 to 776 of the family's 1533-position model. The record is from RNAcentral.